This 215-nucleotide long non-coding RNA is filed under the name Nicotiana benthamiana. RNAcentral's name for it is "long non-coding RNA (NBEN_LNC042677)". The record is from RNAcentral. Lineage: Eukaryota; Viridiplantae; Streptophyta; Magnoliopsida; Solanales; Solanaceae.
CAGUUUAAGAGUAGAGCAAAAUAAGGUAAAGGAAUUAGCAUUCAGUCAAUUAAGGAAGUCAUAGGUUCACAGAAUCCAAUCAUAUAAAAGAGUUCAGAAUAGACCAAUUAUACGGGCAAUCAAAUAAGGCAGGGAUGAUAAUUAAGGGCAUAAAAAAGGAAACACACAAGAUAUAUGCAUACGGAUCUCUAGCAGAGUGAAUCAAUCAGCCAAAA